CCUACGGGAGGCUGCAGUGGGGAAUAUUGGACAAUGGGCGAAAGCCUGAUCCAGCCAUGCCGCGUGUGUGAAGAAGGCCUUCGGGUCGUAAAGCACUUUCAGUGGGGAAGAAAGCCUUGGGGCUAAUACCCUCGAGGAAGGACAUCACCCACAGAAGAAGCACCGGCUAACUCCGUGCCAGCAGCCGCGGUAAUACGGAGGGUGCGAGCGUUAAUCGGAAUUACUGGGCGUAAAGCGCGCGUAGGCGGUCUGAUAAGCCGGUUGUGAAAGCCCCGGGCUCAACCUGGGAACGGCAUCCGGAACUGUCAGGCUAGAGUGCAGGAGAGGAAGGUAGAAUUCCCGGUGUAGCGGUGAAAUGCGUAGAGAUCGGGAGGAAUACCAGUGGCGAAGGCGGCCUUCUGGACUGACACUGACGCUGAGGUGCGAAAGCGUGGGUAGCAAACAGGAUUAGCUACCCGAGUAGUC
This 465-nucleotide ribosomal RNA is filed under the name Vreelandella stevensii. RNAcentral describes it as "partial 16S ribosomal RNA". It matches the Rfam family "Bacterial small subunit ribosomal RNA", at positions 338 to 795 of the family's 1533-position model. Lineage: Bacteria; Pseudomonadati; Pseudomonadota; Gammaproteobacteria; Oceanospirillales; Halomonadaceae. The record is from RNAcentral.